CCAGCUCCAAUAGCGUAUAUUAAAGUUGUUGUGGUUAAAAAGCUCGUAGUUGGAUUUUGGGUUGGAGGAGUCGGUCUGCCGACAGGUUGAACUGUCUCCUCCAUCCUUCUUGCCGGGGACGUAUUCUGGCCUUCAUUGGCUGGGACACGGAGUCGGCGAUGUUACUUUGAAAAAAUUAGAGUGUUCAAAGCAGGCCUAUGCUCUGAAUACAUUAGCAUGGAAUAACGCUAUAGGACUCUGGUCCUAUUGUGUUGGUCUUCGGGACCGGAGUAAUGAUUAAUAGGGACAGUUGGGGGCAUUCGUAUUUCAUUGUCAGAGGUGAAAUUCUUGGAUUUAUGAAAGACGAACUACUGCGAAAGCAUUUGCCAAGGAUGUUUUCA
RNAcentral lists this ribosomal RNA (380 nucleotides) under Desmidium grevillei. RNAcentral's name for it is "SSU rRNA". It matches the Rfam family "Eukaryotic small subunit ribosomal RNA", at positions 585 to 972 of the family's 1831-position model. The record is from RNAcentral. Lineage: Eukaryota; Viridiplantae; Streptophyta; Zygnematophyceae; Desmidiales; Desmidiaceae. RNAcentral also lists the same sequence under 1 other name.